AUAACAUUUGGAAACAGAUGCUAAUACCGCAUAAACCUAACACCGCAUGGUGUAGGGUUGAAAGAUGGUUUCGGCUAUCACUUUAGGAUGGACCCGCGGUGCAUUAGUUAGUUGGUGAGGUAAAGGCUCACCAAGACCGUGAUGCAUAGCCGACCUGAGAGGGUAAAUCGGCCACGCUGGGACUGAGACACGGCCCAGACUCCUACGGAGGCAGCAGUAGGGAAUCUUCCACAAUGGACGAAAGUCUGAUGGAGCAACGCCGCGUGAGUGAAGAAGGUUUUCGGAUCGUAAACUCUGUUGUUGGAGAAGAAUGUAUCUGAUAGUAACUGAUCAGGUAGUGACGGUAUCCAACCAGAAAGCCACGGCUAACUACGUG
This 376-nucleotide ribosomal RNA is filed under the name uncultured bacterium. Its description in RNAcentral is "bacterial SSU rRNA". It matches the Rfam family "Bacterial small subunit ribosomal RNA", at positions 143 to 507 of the family's 1533-position model. The record is from RNAcentral.